CUUCCGGUUCGGCGUGUGCGGGGCGUUAUGCUAAGUCUUCCGGCUGGGCGUGUGCGGGGCGCUGUGCUGUCUUCCGGUUCGGCGUGUGCGGGGCGCUGUGCUAAGUCUUCCGGCUGCAUUCGCACUCUUUCCCUCCGACUCAACCAUGGCAUUGUGGUGUUGGCUGUAAGUGACAAGGACCUUGAUCUGGCUGAAGGAAAGAGUGUUGGCUCCUGAGACUGGAAAGCUGAGGGGUCACCCACAUGGUCCAAGAUGGCUGCUGGAGAUCCAGCCAUUACACAAAACUCCAGUCAGCAAGAAGGAAGAAGCAACAAAGAAGGACAUCACCCCCCUCCCCUUUAAGGACACUUUCUAGAAAUUAUAAGAGCACAUGUUUAUGCCCCUUUUGACAGAACUCAGUCACAUACAUGAUCUGGGUGCAAGAAAAAAUGCAAAAUGUGAUUUUUUUUUUUUUUUUGGAGACAGAGUCUUGCUCUGUUGCCCAGGCUGGAAUGCAGUGGCACGAUCUCGGCUCACUGCAACAUCCACCUCCUGGGUUCAAGCGAUUCACCUUUCUCAGCCUCCCAAGUAGUUGGGAUUAUAGGCGCUUGCCACCAUGCCAGGCUAAUUUUUGUAUUUUUAGUAGAGACGGGGUUUCGCCAUGUUGGCCAGGCUGGCCUCGAACUCCUGAUCUCAGGUGAUCCACCCACCUCAGCCUCCCAAAGUGCUGGGAUUACAAGUGUGAGCCACCAUGCCCAGCCUGCAAAAUGUGAUUUUUUAUUCCAGUUUGUCACAGGUCCAAGUAAGAAUCAGAGUUUUUCUUGCUAAGGAAGAAGGGGAGAUGCAUAGUGAGGGACAAUGAUCAGAUUUUGCCACAAAUAGAUGCUAUUCUUGUUAUCCUUGCUUUUAGAUAAAAUUGAGGCUCAGAAAGAUUAAAUACCUUACCUAGGGUCAUGCAACUCCCAGCCUGCCCCUACAGCCUGUGCCUGCAAUAACCACUAUCAUAUAAUUCCAUUUAAUUAGAUUUCAGAGAUGCCAAUUACCUAAGGAGGGUCCAAUGACAGGCAAAUUCUAUUUUUUAAAAAAAUCUAACAUUCAAACAAAUUGAGCAUUCAGACAUCACAACUUUGUCAAAAACCCUAACGAUCACAGCAAAUGUAGAAAAACACAGGAGAAAAAAUGUUUAAACUAUACACACAGAGGUAUGAAAGAGAAGCAAGACCAGCUUUUGCACAGAUCAACAGUCCUUCCAGAGAAGAAAAAGCCCAUCACAUGUUCCGGAAGCCAAUUUAACUAGGAUGAUCACAAAGAAGAAACAAGGGAGUGUACCAAGUGGCAACGCAGCCACAGGGUGGGGAAGUCAUGCUUGAAAUCACUAAGAAUAAAAGUUUGAGCA
RNAcentral lists this long non-coding RNA (1375 nucleotides) under Homo sapiens (human). RNAcentral's name for it is "novel transcript". The record is from RNAcentral. Lineage: Eukaryota; Metazoa; Chordata; Mammalia; Primates; Hominidae.